GCGGCCUUGGACCCAUGGGACGUCGUACCAGCCAGGCAGCCACCUGCAUCAACGAGUGCGUCACCCACGCGGGGCGCAGCUGCCGCGGGUGACGCCGCCACCCCGGGGUAGUGGCGGAGGGCGAGGAGGGCAAAGCGCUCGCGCUACGGCGGCAGCGCCGCGAGAGCCAGCGAGGGCAUCCGCUCCUGGCGUACUCCUGAUUCGUUUUCCCCACCGCGGCGAGUGCUUUGUCCAUGAUGAGCAAUGAGUUGAUGGUUUAUUUUGCCGUGUGAGAUGACAUUUUAGCCAAGUUGGAGUGAAUGAUAGGGACUUAAGAUUUGUGUAUAUUUAUGAUGAGCUGGCAGUGCAGUGGUCGCUCAAGGAAGGUAACAAGUUGUGUUACUAUAAUCAGAUUACAAAGUAAGGAUACUUUAAUUUUAUAAUCAUUCGUAAAUGUGUUAUUUGUAUAUCGUGUAAAGACCGUACUUGGAAUAAACACGACGCCUCCACAUGAAUUUGUAUCUCUUGCUUGGUAAUUUCAGUGAUGAAGGCAUGCGAGCCAUGUCAGAUAUGAACUUGUAUAGACGUUGGAUACUUCAGUCAAAUAUUACCUAAUCAAAUGUAAAACA
Oryza brachyantha (malo sina) is the source of this 608-nucleotide long non-coding RNA. RefSeq lists it as uncharacterized. Lineage: Eukaryota; Viridiplantae; Streptophyta; Magnoliopsida; Poales; Poaceae. The record is from RefSeq and is a predicted model, not a curated record. The transcript is spliced from 2 exons.